This is a non-coding RNA of Clupea harengus (Atlantic herring), 675 nucleotides long. The record is from the annotation of a RefSeq genome assembly. NCBI's taxonomy places the organism in Eukaryota, Metazoa, Chordata, Actinopteri, Clupeiformes, Clupeidae.
CAUAGGUGGAUUCCAGCCCUCUACACAGUUCUAAUUCUAGCAUGUCAUCGAUACACACCUUUCCUUUUCCGCCAUCAUGCCAUGCAAAACCAACAAUCUCCUUUACAUAUAUACAUCUCUCAAACUAACCAGAUCAAAAGGGAAGUAACAUAUCAUCAAUAGCUGAACAUGAACAUCAUAACAGGAAUCCUGCUGCUGCAGAUGCUGACUGGAUUGCAGAGUCAGAUAUUGUCUGAGUCUGAACCAGCUGUUGUAAAACCUGGUCAAUCUCAUAAACUGACCUGCACUGCUUCUGGGCUGGACUUUGAUGGCUACUGGAUGGCUUGGAUCAGGCAGGCUCCUGGGAAAGGGCUUGAGUUUGUUGCAAUUAUCGAGAAUGACAGUAAUCGCAAAUUUUAUUCAACCGCUGUUCAAGGGAGAUUCACCAUCUCCAGAGACAACAAUGUGGACCAGCUGUAUCUGCAGAUGAACAGUCUGAAGACCGAGGACACGGCUGUUUAUUACUGUGCCCGAGACACACAGUCACAAAAGAGGCUGCCUUGCAGUACAAGAAAUAACAAUCUACUUUUACAUUCCAGAGUUCUAUUUUUCAUUUUUUUUUUACUUCUGUUUUAUUUCAAAUACAUAAUUGAAAUGCACGUGGUAUAUAUAAAGCAAUAAGGUGUUGCCUUUUUG